UAACGGCGAGUGAAGCGGCAAAAGCUCAAAUUUGAAAUCUGGUACCUUCGGUGCCCGAGUUGUAAUUUGGAGAGGGCAACUUUGGGGCCGUUCCUUGUCUAUGUUCCUUGGAACAGGACGUCAUAGAGGGUGAGAAUCCCGUGUGGCGAGGAGUGCGGUUCUUUGUAAAGUGCCUUCGAAGAGUCGAGUUGUUUGGGAAUGCAGCUCUAAGUGGGUGGUAAAUUCCAUCUAAAGCUAAAUAUUGGCGAGAGACCGAUAGCGAACAAGUACAGUGAUGGAAAGAUGAAAAGAACUUUGAAAAGAGAGUGAAAAAGUACGUGAAAUUGUUGAAAGGGAAGGGCAUUUGAUCAGACAUGGUGUUUUGUGCCCUCUGCUCCUUGUGGGUAGGGGAAUCUCGCAUUUCACUGGGCCAGCAUCAGUUUUGGUGGCAGGAUAAAUCCAUAGGAAUGUAGCUUGCCUCGGUAAGUAUUAUAGCCUGUGGGAAUACUGCCAGCUGGGACUGAGGACUGCGACGUAAGUCAAGGAUGCUGGCAUAAUGGUUAUAUGCCGCCCGUCUUGAC
This 560-nucleotide ribosomal RNA is filed under the name Saccharomyces cerevisiae (brewer's yeast). Its description in RNAcentral is "eukaryotic LSU rRNA". It matches the Rfam family "Eukaryotic large subunit ribosomal RNA", at positions 84 to 658 of the family's 3401-position model. The record is from RNAcentral. Lineage: Eukaryota; Fungi; Ascomycota; Saccharomycetes; Saccharomycetales; Saccharomycetaceae.